Non-coding RNA from Hordeum vulgare subsp. vulgare (domesticated barley), 125 nucleotides. The record is from Rfam. Lineage: Eukaryota; Viridiplantae; Streptophyta; Magnoliopsida; Poales; Poaceae.
GUAUUACUCCCUCCGUCCGGAAAUAUUUGUUAUUGGAAUGGAUGUAUCUAGAUGUAUUUUAGUUUCAGAUACGUUCAUUUUUAUACAGUUAUGGGAUAAAUAAUUUCGGACGAAGGGAGUAUUAU